This 257-nucleotide ribosomal RNA is filed under the name uncultured bacterium. RNAcentral describes it as "partial 16S ribosomal RNA". It matches the Rfam family "Bacterial small subunit ribosomal RNA", at positions 524 to 777 of the family's 1533-position model. The record is from RNAcentral.
UACAGAGGUCCCAAGCGUUGUUCGGAUUCACUGGGCGUAAAGGGUGCGUAGGCGGUCGGGUAAGUCUGAUGUGAAAUCUCACAGCUUAACUGUGAAACUGCAUUGGAUACUAUCCGGCUCGAGGAAUGGAGGGGAGACUGGAAUACUUGGUGUAGCAGUGAAAAUGCGUAGAUAUCAAGUGGAACACCAGUGGCGAAGGCGAGUCUCUGGACAUUUCCUGACGCUGAGGCACGAAAAGCCAGGGGGAGCAAAACGGG